RNAcentral lists this ribosomal RNA (484 nucleotides) under uncultured bacterium. Its description in RNAcentral is "partial 16S ribosomal RNA". It matches the Rfam family "Bacterial small subunit ribosomal RNA", at positions 30 to 507 of the family's 1533-position model. The record is from RNAcentral.
AUUGAACGCUGGCGGCGGGCCUAACACAUGCAAGUCGAGCGGAUGAAGGGAGCUUGCUCCUGGAUUCAGCGGCGGACGGGUGAGUAAUGCCUAGGAAUCUGCCUGAUAGUGGGGGAUAACGUCCGGAAACGGGCGCUAAUACCGCAUACGUCCUGAGGGAGAAAGUGGGGGAUCUUCGGACCUCACGCUAUCAGAUGAGCCUAGGUCGGAUUAGCUAGUUGGUGGGGUAAAGGCCUACCAAGGCGACGAUCCGUAACUGGUCUGAGAGGAUGAUCAGUCACACUGGAACUGAGACACGGUCCAGACUCCUACGGGAGGCAGCAGUGGGGAAUAUUGGACAAUGGGCGAAAGCCUGAUCCAGCCAUGCCGCGUGUGUGAAGAAGGUCUUCGGAUUGUAAAGCACUUUAAGUUGGGAGGAAGGGCAGUAAGUUAAUACCUUGCUGUUUUGACGUUACCAACAGAAUAAGCACCGGCUAACUUCGUG